AGAGCUCAAAUUUAAAAUCUGGCGGUGUAUUCCGUCCGAGUUGUAGUCUAGAGAAGCAUCAUCCGCGUCGGACCAUGUACAAGUCUCUUGGAACAGAGCGUCAUAGAGGGUGAGAAUCCCGUCCUUGACAUGGACUCCCGGUGCUUUGUGUUGUGCUCUCGACGAGUCGAGUUGUUUGGGAAUGCAGCUCAAAAUGGGUGGUAAAUUCCAUCUAAAGCUAAAUAUUGGCGAGAGACCGAUAGCGAA
RNAcentral lists this ribosomal RNA (246 nucleotides) under Ceratobasidiaceae sp. 5 CRJH-2017. Its description in RNAcentral is "partial 28S ribosomal RNA". It matches the Rfam family "Eukaryotic large subunit ribosomal RNA", at positions 104 to 344 of the family's 3401-position model. Lineage: Eukaryota; Fungi; Basidiomycota; Agaricomycetes; Cantharellales; Ceratobasidiaceae. The record is from RNAcentral.